This 515-nucleotide ribosomal RNA is filed under the name uncultured bacterium. Its description in RNAcentral is "partial 16S ribosomal RNA". It matches the Rfam family "Bacterial small subunit ribosomal RNA", at positions 28 to 523 of the family's 1533-position model. The record is from RNAcentral.
GACGAACGCUGGCGGCGUGCCUAAUACAUGCAAGUCGAGCGGACUUUCAAGAAGCUUGCUUUUUGAAAGUUAGCGGCGGACGGGUGAGUAACACGUGGGCAACCUGCCUGUAAGACGGGGAUAACUCCGGGAAACCGGGGCUAAUACCGGAUAAUAUCUUUCUUCGCAUGAAGGAAGGUUGAAAGGCGGCGCAAGCUGCCGCUUGCAGAUGGGCCCGCGGCGCAUUAGCUAGUUGGUGAGGUAACGGAUCACCAAGGUGACGAUGCGUAGCGGACCUGAGAGGGUGAUCAGCCACACUGGGACUGAGACACGGCCCAGACUCCUACGGGAGGCAGCAGUAGGGAAUCUUCCGCAAUGGACGAAAGUCUGACGGAGCAACGCCGCGUGAGCGAAGAAGGUCUUCGGAUCGUAAAGCUCUGUUGUCAGGGAAGAACAAGUACCGUUCGAAUAGGGCGGUACCUUGACGGUACCUGACCAGAAAGCCACGGCUAACUACGUGCCAGCCGCCGCGGUAA